This 69-nucleotide transfer RNA is filed under the name Marmota marmota marmota (Alpine marmot). It matches the Rfam family "tRNA". Rfam says of the family: Transfer RNA (tRNA) molecules are approximately 80 nucleotides in length. Their secondary structure includes four short double-helical elements and three loops (D, anti-codon, and T loops). RNAcentral also lists the same sequence under 1 other name. Lineage: Eukaryota; Metazoa; Chordata; Mammalia; Rodentia; Sciuridae. The record is from Rfam by way of RNAcentral.
GGAGUUGUGGCUCAGUGGUAGAGCACUCACCUGGCAUGUGUGAGGUGCUGAGUUCGAUCUUCAGCACCA